GUUCUGGGCAGGAGGCCGCCGAUCCAAGUCAACAGGUCAGGCUGGAGUUCCACACAACAUCGGGCGUGCUGCCCUGUGCAAACCCAGUGACUCUGUAACAGUCCAACCCUUGGCCUCUGGGUCAGUCUGACUAAAACAGUAAUUAUGGCUCAAAACAAAAAAGCAUGUUACCACCCAACUUCGCCACUUGAAAUGAAACUGGAAAAACAUCCUCAAAACACAGGACUCAAGAUGGCGCUGUGAGAACAACCCAGGAUUGGAGCUCUUCUCGUUGAAUCUGCAAACGGUGAGUCAGAGCGGCAUUUCCAGACUGAUCUUUGUUGCCCACAGAACGGGGAAACUCCCAAGUAUAAAAAAGACAUGGGACGCCAGGCAGUAGGUCUGCCUGGCGAAGCCGGCAGC
RNAcentral lists this long non-coding RNA (402 nucleotides) under Callithrix jacchus (white-tufted-ear marmoset). Its description in RNAcentral is "lncRNA (ENSCJAG00000081766.1)". Lineage: Eukaryota; Metazoa; Chordata; Mammalia; Primates; Cebidae. The record is from RNAcentral.